This 1332-nucleotide ribosomal RNA is filed under the name Triticum aestivum (bread wheat). RNAcentral describes it as "partial small subunit ribosomal RNA". Lineage: Eukaryota; Viridiplantae; Streptophyta; Magnoliopsida; Poales; Poaceae. The record is from RNAcentral.
AUGGCAGAUCAUUGUGCAAGUAGCGGCAGCUGGACGGAUCUCCCAGGCGAUCUCCUUGGCCUCAUCUUGCAACUCCUUGAGCUCCCCGAAGCUCUCGCUGCCGCAGCCGUCUGCACUUCAUGGCGCUCAGCCGCAGCGGCCGCCGGCGUCCCUCGCGGCCGCACGCCGUGGCUCAUUAGCUGGAAAACGGCCAACUGCCGGAGCAGCGAGUUCCGGAACCUCCUCGGCACCCGCAGGACCCACAAGGUUAGCUUGCCCGCCGGGCGGCGCAGGCUCGAGUGGUGUGGAGCCUCGCAUGGAUGGCUCGUCGCGUCGGACGAGCUCUCCAACCUCGUGCUCUACCACCCCUUCACCUUCGCCACGAUCCUUCUCCCGCCCAUCACCGAUCUGGAGUGCGUCAAGGGGGUCUACGACGCCGACGGAGGCAUCGUGGGCUAUCGUUUUGGGAAAUACCUUCAGCAUGAGCCUAGUCAGCCCGGUGCGCAAGACCUCGGCACAUGGUUCUACCAAAAGGUGGUGUUGUCAUGCGAUCCAUCUCAUGGUGAUGACUACACUGCCGUGGCCAUCCACUAUGAUGCUAACUGUUUUUCCUUCACAAGAGCAAGAGAGGGGCGCUGGCGACUUGCCUCGGCUCUCCCUGACGGGGGCGACGAUCGGUAUGCCGAUUGUCUCUACCACGACGGAAGAUUCUACACGGUGACGUUGCGUGGGGUGGUCGAGGCGUGGGAUCUUUGUGGGCUGCAAGAACCAAACAAAGAGGUGAUCAUCGCCGACGGGGACAAAAGGUAUAGGAGGGUCCUUACCAGAUUCCUUGUGUCUACGGCCUGCGGCCGCCUCCUGCAGAUACGAACCGUUCGACGCACUCAACACCCCAGAGAAAUCAAGGUAGAGGUGCUCCAAGUCAACGUCGAAGUGCACAUGCUGGUUGCUCUGAGCUCUUCGGCAGCCCUGCCGGAACAUGCGGUGUUUGUCGGCUUGAAACACUCAGUGUGUCUGCCCAUCAGGGAGUUUCCGGAGCUCAGGCCCAACUGCGUCUACUUCACCACGCCUCGGCUGAAACACCACGACAAUUUCGGUCUUCGUGGCUGGAGUGGUGUGAGGGUGUACGACUUGGAAAGUCAGACGUCUGAGCGUGCUUUCCCAGGCUUUGGACCGUACUAUGCGGUGUUUUGGCCCUCUGAACUUUGGUACAUUCCGAAUCUUUCAAGGAUGAGAUCACUGGAUGCGAUGGAUGGCUUUUGCUUCAAGCUGGAAGAAGUGGACUCGCUGAUCUGUGACAUCAAGUUGGAAGUAGUUGACUUCGGCAAAGGAAGUUGGGCUUCAGUUAGCUAG